Molecule: ribosomal RNA, 253 nt
Filed under: uncultured bacterium
Lineage: Bacteria
Description: partial 16S ribosomal RNA
Rfam family: Bacterial small subunit ribosomal RNA
Source: RNAcentral
UACGGAGGGUGCAAGCGUUGUUCGGAAUCAUUGGGCGUAAAGCGCGUGUAGGCGGUUGCCUAAGUCUGGUGUGAAAGCCCGGGGCUCAACCCCGGAAGUGCACUGGAUACUGGGUAACUAGAGGACGAGAGAGGAAAGUGGAAUUCAUGGUGUAGGGGUGAAAUCCGUAGAUAUCAUGAGGAACAUCUGUGGCGAAGGCGACUUUCUGGCUCGUUUCUGACGCUGAGACGCGAAAGCGUGGGGAGCAAACAGG